UACGAAGGGGGCUAGCGUUGCUCGGAAUCACUGGGCGUAAAGCGCACGUAGGCGGACUCUUAAGUCGGUGGUGAAAUCCUGGAGCUCAACUCCAGAACUGCCUUCGAUACUGAGAGUCUCGAGUCCGGGAGAGGUGAGUGGAACUGCGAGUGUAGAGGUGAAAUUCGUAGAUAUUCGCAAGAACACCAGUGGCGAAGGCGGCUCACUGGCCCGGUAUUGACGCUGAGGUGCGAAAGCGUGGGGAGCAAACAGG
Molecule: ribosomal RNA, 253 nt
Filed under: uncultured bacterium
Lineage: Bacteria
Description: partial 16S ribosomal RNA
Rfam family: Bacterial small subunit ribosomal RNA
Source: RNAcentral